Long non-coding RNA from Zea mays, 1330 nucleotides. RefSeq lists it as uncharacterized. NCBI's taxonomy places the organism in Eukaryota, Viridiplantae, Streptophyta, Magnoliopsida, Poales, Poaceae. The transcript has 3 exons. The record is from RefSeq and is a predicted model, not a curated record.
GCAGUGGGGGUUGUUGGGGCCCAGUCGCCCAGACCUAGCCUUCACCGGACAUCCCUCCCUCCUCUUCUCGGGGAGUGGUGCUCCCUGCGCUGCCCAUUCUCGGAUAAGACCUAGCCUUCACCGGACAUCCCUCCCUCCUCUUCUCGGGGAGUGGUGCUCCCUGCGCUGCCCAUUCUCGGAUAAGGUUCCGAGGGGUCACCCCAUCAUUCUCGAAGGCCUGGAAGGAGAGGAUAUGGAUGUGGAGCAAUGGCAGCUCAUCGAGGGAGCAUCUGCUAGAGCUGACAAAGGUCUAGAGACUAUUGAGCGCUGCCUCGACAAUUUCGAGGAGGCGAUGUUGAUAGCCUGCACUAUGAUGAUGUGGGACCUGCUCCCCAUCGGCCAGCGCCUAUUUUAUCGAUCGAUGGCACAGAGGGAGGUGUUGCUAACUGCAUGACAGAAGGUGGAGCAGCUGCAUGCGGAGGUCUCCCAUUCGGAGGAGAGAAAGCACGAGCUCGCCUCACUUCGUGCUGAGGCUGAAAGGCUUUGUGGAGAGGUGAUGUGCUUGCGCACGCAACGUAGCGAGCGCGGAGCAGCGCGAACCUCCUUCGAGAGGAGAGGGGCCAUCUUCAGGGGGACAUGCAUGAGUUGAAUCAUUGGGCCAAGGAGGCCGAGUGGACCCUGAGGGUGGAAAAUGCUUGCCUAGAGGAGGCAAACUUGGAGCUCUCAAGAGAGCGCAAGGCGGUCGAAGAGCUCCAGAAAAUGUUCUCUAAUGCCCAAGACACCGGGAAAGUGGUGGAGGAGCUGAAGAAGGCGACGGAGGACGAGAUGUGCAAGCCCGCGCUUGCCGAUGAUGAUGUUGUCGCCACACAGGUCCAGGGAGAGAACUCGCUCUUAGAGUGAAGCACGGAGCGUUAGGCUCUUCGGCUAGCUAUGGGCACGGUGUGUGCCCACCUCUCUCCUCUGACACCGAUCAUGGUUCGUCUGAUCAAUUGGCUGCAUGCGAUGCCCUGCCACGUGGAGCGCGUCGUCGUCGAAGGUGCGUUCCACUGGAGCAGCAUGGCCAUUGGGCAGAUGGUCUCCAACUUCGAUGAGAUUGAUGCCACUGUGAUCGUGGAGGGCUUUGCUGCUGGCCGUAGCGAUGAGGAGUUGGAUGACAUUGAAGAACAAGUACGCCCUCAUGCCUGGUCGAUCGCGAGCCUUAUUGACACGAAGUUCAUUCUGACCCGGCCUCCAAAUCCAUGAAGCAUUAGGCGAGCCCUAGUCAUCUUCAGUUCUUUUGUAAAUGAACUUAGACGAUGGAGCUGAAUGAAUGUUGUGCUUUUAUUUUAAUGUUAUUUUGCUAGUGAGUCCU